Molecule: long non-coding RNA, 524 nt
Organism: Formica exsecta
Lineage: Eukaryota; Metazoa; Arthropoda; Insecta; Hymenoptera; Formicidae
Exons: 2
Source: RefSeq, a predicted model, not a curated record
AGUCACUAUGAAGAUGUAAUAUCAAAAUUCAAAAAUUUUUGAUCAGUAUGCAGCAAUGAAUACUGUAAAAUAUAUAUUUCUGUUAGUUGCCGGUUUUGCGGUUGUCUCGAUCUCCAAUGUCAUAGCUGUGCCAUCAGGUAGUCGUGAAACUAACCAUGAAGAGCUUUGGCCGAAAAUAAAACUGCAACCUCUUCUUCAGUUGUGUCUUGAAGUAUAUGAAUUACUUGGGCCCUGGUUUCCAGGAGGCUAAAAUGCAGUUAAAAUGAGCUGUGGCACAAGAAGAUUAUGUUUAUAAGAAUUUAUGGCACAAUAUAUUCGGCAAACUUCAGUUAUCGCACAAAUGUAUAGUAAAUUAUCUAUAUUGUAAAAAAUUAACAAAAUAAUAUUUUUGGUGUCGGGAUACAAAAUAUAAUAUGCGAUUAUUGUUUUAUUAUCAUACAUCGAAAUAUAUCUUGUAUUAAUAAAUGUCAGUGCUAUAUAUUAACGUUUAUCUCGCAAAAAUUAAAAAUUGUUAGUUUCAUUUA